Molecule: long non-coding RNA, 1710 nt
Organism: Micropterus salmoides (largemouth bass)
Lineage: Eukaryota; Metazoa; Chordata; Actinopteri; Centrarchiformes; Centrarchidae
Exons: 3
Source: RefSeq, a predicted model, not a curated record
CACUCACCGUCAGCCGGGCUGCCACCACAAAAGCCUGUAGCUGUUUAAAAUGAAUAACAGGCUGGAGGAGAAUUCGAGCACUUUAUUAUUCAUUAAGGAAAUUCCAGUCUGCUAAAUGAUGAAUCAGCAACACUGUAUAAAAUGUAAUAUUGUUAACGUAUCAAUCAUGCGUUUUAUAGCCAAUCAUGGUCCGCGUUGGCGCGCAUUCAUUUUUCUAGCUCCACCCGAUUAAAAUAGAGGCUAUGCCUUUAUUUACCCAUUGCCAUGGUGAAUCGUCGUUGACCUUUUUCAUCAAGUUUAUCAUUUCAAGCCUGAAGAUUUAAUUUCAUGUGUAAUGAAUGUAGAAUAAAUUUCACCUUUUGAAAAAAAUUUCCACUAUAUUAUAAUUUUAUGAGAUGCACCUGUAGAUUACUUACGAUUUUAGGUGGCAAGUUUUGAACCUGCAGCAGUUCACAACUCCAUCCUUGAUUAGGAAAGUGCCCUUCUUUAUUUUUGUAACACAGCAGAUGGAAAUGAGCACAGACUCACAUUUCUUUUAGCCAAAUUUUCAAAUAUGUGCUUAAAAUUAUGAAAGUGGAUGGAGACCCAGCUGUGGUAGGGCUGCGUCUUUCCAUGGGACAGGAAGUCUCAAUGUCAUGAAGAUUACUGAAAAGAUAAUCAGAUAUGCUCUUCGAAAGUUGUACCACACCAGGUUUCAAGGUGCAUCAUGUAGGAACACACCUGCCUCCAGUGGUCUGAUCGUCUGUGCUGCUGCAUCCUAACCAAGAAUUUCCUGAAGGAAGUAAUUUCUCUAGAAAUUAAAAUAUACAAGAAUGCAUGUGUACUGUAGCCAAAUCCUUAAAACGUCUAAUUUAUUGGUAGUGUGUGAGUGCCACCUAGUGGAGGUCUUGCAUUAUGUUUGGAUUGUGCUGAAUUAGUUCUAAUUUGUUAAUAAAAGUAGGGGGAAACACAGACGUUAUUUACUUAAAAUGUAGCUACAACACAGCGUGAACCUGCAACCUGCCUCAUAGAGCAAACUUCUCACUAUGACUGUAUAAGCUACAAUUUAUCUGUCUACCUUCAAUAUUUCCAAACAAUGGCAUUGUCUAACAAAUUUGUAAAGGGAAUAGUGGCAAGGCAAGUUUAUUUAUAAAGCACAAUGCGUACAAAGUGGAAAUUCAAAGACUUUCAUGAAAUUCAUGCCGCUUGUUCCUGUCAACAUUAGGCAUAAAGCAGUGGUGUUUUUUUUAAGUGGACAGGAAGAAGAGGAUAAAGUCAUGAGAAGACUGAGGACAGGAACGGAAGGAAAAGUGCCCACACAGGAAGGAGGAAACCCACACAGACACAGGGAGAACAUGCAUUCUCCACACAGAAAGGCCUGGGAUGACGGGUUCGAAAAUGAGAUCUUCUUGCUGUGAGUCCACAGUGCUUUCUGCAGUCCUUCCAUAAGAUCUUCCUUCUGGACCUUUGGAAAGUUCAAUGGCACUUCUGUAGGUCCUCUUCAUCGAAAGAAAGACCAGUGCGAUGCCUACUGUUCAUUCAAGCCUGGAAACAUCGAAGCAGCUUCAUGGGACACAAAGGCUGCGAAGCAGAAGGACAAAGAAGAUGCAGAUAAGAAGACCUUGUUGGCGCUCACUCCAAUUCCAGGCCAUACUGUGUGAGGUACGUAUCUUCAAGGACUUCAGCCAGAUGGGGAACUGGGAAAAAGCUGGGGAUCCAACAUUGCAUGAC